RNAcentral lists this ribosomal RNA (639 nucleotides) under Triticum aestivum (bread wheat). RNAcentral's name for it is "partial small subunit ribosomal RNA". The record is from RNAcentral. Lineage: Eukaryota; Viridiplantae; Streptophyta; Magnoliopsida; Poales; Poaceae.
AUGGAUUUUAUCAUGGGAUUGCCCAGGACUCGUUCAGGCUAUGACUCUAUAUGGGUUGUAGUCGAUCGAUUGACGAAAGUAGCUCAUUUCAUCUUAGUGAAGACCACUUAUACAAGUGCUAAGUUGGCAAAGAUAUACAUGACCAGGAUCGUAUGUCCGCAUGGAGUUCCAAGGACCAUUGUAUCAGAUAGAGGAACCCAGUUUACCUCAAAGUUCCGGAAUCAGUUGCACAAGACUUUGGGUACCAGGCUAGAGUUCAAUACAGCUUUUCAUCCACAGACAGAUGGACAGACCGAGAGAGUCAAUCAGAUUCUGGAGGACAUGUUGAGAGCUAGUGCGCUAGAUUAUGGAUCUAGUUGGGACGACAAUCUGCCAUAUGCAGAGUUCUCUUAUAACGACAACUAUCAAGCCAGUUUGAAGAUCGCCCCUUUCGAAGCGUUGUACGGAAGGAGGUGUAGGACACCGUUAUUGUGGGAUGAAGUUGGAGACCGUCGGUUGUUUGGACUAGAUUUGACUAAGGAGUUUGAAGAGAAGGUUAAACUGAUCCGCGACAGACUCAAGGUAGCCCAGUCCAGACAGAAGAGUUAUGCGGAUUCAAAACGCAAGGAGAUGGUUUACGAAGUUGGAGACCGAGUAUAA